Molecule: ribosomal RNA, 450 nt
Filed under: uncultured bacterium
Lineage: Bacteria
Description: partial 16S ribosomal RNA
Rfam family: Bacterial small subunit ribosomal RNA
Source: RNAcentral
GUGGGGAAUAUUGGACAAUGGGGGCAACCCUGAUCCAGCCAUGCCGCGUGCGGGAAGAAGGCCUUCGGGUUGUAAACCGCUUUUGUCAGGGAAGAAAUCCUUUGGGUUAAUACCUCGGAGGGAUGACGGUACCUGAAGAAUAAGCACCGGCUAACUACGUGCCAGCAGCCGCGGUAAUACGUAGGGUGCAAGCGUUAAUCGGAAUUACUGGGCGUAAAGCGUGCGCAGGCGGUUAUAUAAGACAGAUGUGAAAUCCCCGGGCUCAACCUGGGAACUGCAUUUGUGACUGUAUAGCUAGAGUACGGUAGAGGGGGAUGGAAUUCCGCGUGUAGCAGUGAAAUGCGUAGAUAUGCGGAGGAACACCGAUGGCGAAGGCAAUCCCCUGGACCUGUACUGACGCUCAUGCACGAAAGCGUGGGGAGCAAACAGGAUUAGAAACCCCUGUAGUCC